GACGAACGCUGGCGGCGUGCUUAACACAUGCAAGUCGAACGGAAAGGCCCUGCUUUUGUGGGGUGCUCGAGUGGCGAACGGGUGAGUAACACGUGAGUAACCUGCCCUUGACUUUGGGAUAACUUCAGGAAACUGGGGCUAAUACCGGAUAGGAGCUCCUGCUGCAUGGUGGGGGUUGGAAAGUUUCGGCGGAUGGGGAUGGACUCGGGGCUUAUCAGCUUGUUGGUGGGGUAGUGGCUUACCAAGGCUUUGACGGGUAGCCGGCCUGAGAGGGUGACCGGCGACAUGGGGACUGAGAUACGGCGCAGACUCCUACGGGAGGCAGCAGGGGAGAAUAUUGCACAAUGGGCGGACGCCUGAUGCAGCAACGCCGCGUGCGGGAUGAAGGCCUUCGGGGUGUAAACCGCUGUCGCCUGUGACGAAGCGUGAGUGACGGUAAUGGGUAAAGAAGCACCGGCUAACUACGUG
RNAcentral lists this ribosomal RNA (468 nucleotides) under uncultured bacterium. RNAcentral's name for it is "partial 16S ribosomal RNA". It matches the Rfam family "Bacterial small subunit ribosomal RNA", at positions 28 to 507 of the family's 1533-position model. The record is from RNAcentral.